GACGAACGCUGGCGGCGUGCUUAACACAUGCAAGUCGAGCGGUAAGGCCCUUUCGGGGGGUACACGAGCGGCGAACGGGUGAGUAACACGUGGGUGACCUGCCCUUAGCUCUGGGAUAAGCCUGGGAAACUGGGUCUAAUACCGGAUAUGACUCCAUGACGCAUGUUGUGGGGUGGAAAGCCUUGUGCGGCUAGGGAUGGGCCCGCGGCCUAUCAGCUUGUUGGUGGGGUGAUGGCCUACCAAGGCGACGACGGGUAGCCGGCCUGAGAGGGCGACCGGCCACACUGGGACUGAGACACGGCCCAGACUCCUACGGGAGGCAGCAGUGGGGAAUCUUGCGCAAUGGGCGAAAGCCUGACGCAGCGACGCCGCGUGAGGGAUGACGGCCUCGGUGU
Molecule: ribosomal RNA, 395 nt
Filed under: uncultured bacterium
Lineage: Bacteria
Description: bacterial SSU rRNA
Rfam family: Bacterial small subunit ribosomal RNA
Source: RNAcentral